Molecule: ribosomal RNA, 255 nt
Filed under: uncultured bacterium
Lineage: Bacteria
Description: partial 16S ribosomal RNA
Rfam family: Bacterial small subunit ribosomal RNA
Source: RNAcentral
UACGGGGGGAGCAAGCGUUGUUCGGAUUUACUGGGCGUAAAGGGCGCGUAGGCGGCCACCGCAAGUCAGUUGUGAAAGCUCUGGGCUUAACCCAGAAAGGUCAGCUGAUACUGCGGGGCUAGAGUGCAGAAGGGGCAACUGGAAUUCUCGGUGUAGCGGUGAAAUGCGUAGAUAUCGAGAGGAACACCUGCGGCGAAGGCGGGUUGCUGGGCUGACACUGACGCUGACAGCGCGAAAGCUGGGGGAGCGAACGGG